This 1566-nucleotide small RNA is filed under the name Histoplasma capsulatum. Its description in RNAcentral is "hypothetical RNA". RNAcentral also lists the same sequence under 1 other name. Lineage: Eukaryota; Fungi; Ascomycota; Eurotiomycetes; Onygenales; Ajellomycetaceae. The record is from RNAcentral.
CACUUAUCAGAAUUCAAGGCUAAUUUGACGAACAUGAAUAUCCAGGUUCAAAACUAGUUCCUAACUAGCUAGGACAGUUUCAGAAGCUUUGAGGGCUGGUCAGUUUGAGGUAAGUAAGGCUAACUACAACCCAACGAACAGUAAUUAUUGUUGUUGUUGUUCUUCAAAUCAAGCAUUGACAUUGCUGCUGGUCAGCAACCACGUAAUCACUGUCAAGCCCCGACAAAAAGCCCUGGUCUGCUUCGGCAACUUCUUCCACUGCUUCUCCAUCAGUACCGUCAUAGCCAGAUUCAUCCAGGCACCUCCCACAUCACACCCCUCGCGGACAAGAUAUUGAUACCAGGUGUUGCGCAGGCCCCAACACAGACAGUAGCGGACCGACCCUAACAAACAAAAUCAACGCCAUUUUUCAAAAAGUCCAGCAGCCAUGCUUCCAUUUAACCCCCUGAGAAACACAUGACAAAUUGAGAACAUAACAUUUCCAACUUCGAUGGCCACUUCAUGAGUCAAGGGCUUUCCUGAACCUGGACAACGACUUUGCUGCGGGAUGAAAACUUGGUGGGAUGAAGCAAUCAUCAUCAUGCCCUACAGGUCACUCAUCCACGGGCUAGAUUAAGAUUAAGGUAAUAUCCCCCUCGCCCAUCUUGGUUAGGAUGGACUCGCUGUACCCGGCUAGUUUGAUAUAUUAGCCCGGAGGAAGGGUCUACUCGAAUGUGAUGUGCGAGUUUGAAUUUCCUCAAAAGAUUUUUGGAUUUCAACAUUCCUGCCCACCCAGAAAAAUGGUUGACCUUGUUUGUCUACAUACUACGUAGACGGAUAGUCCUAAAUUCUUGAGGGCCUCGAACCAGGGGGGUAUUUGAUACCCCAUUCCACCAAAGUGUCAUAUCCCUUCCGCCCAGUUCGAUCUGCCAGAAUCCGUUGGUUUGCCGCUCCCAAUGAUACUCAUUGAGCCGGGGUCAGACCAGAGCCUGUAAAAUCAGCUGUUAUGUCAUGUUUGACAUAACCCUGAGAGCCGCGUGUCCAUUGAGAUACACAGUGAUCACUAUUCUUUACAUGUCUAGAAUUUCGUGCUGGGUUUGACUGAGGAAUUUUCUUUGUUAAAAGCUGCAGAUUCCCUGAUUAGAGGGAACGAGACUGAAGACUGUCUGAUUUUUGAUGCUGUUUGGAGUUUUCGCUGGAGCUAUUUUCAAUCAUCGGUAUGCAUGCAGACAUUUUGGAUAUGGCGUGUUUAACCAAUGAACUGUUCAUUUCUGCCCUUUAAAACAGAGCGCCAUUGGGAUCACAUUCACGGUUCUUGGGAAUCGGGCGCUGUACGGCCAUGCUUCUCAAUGCAUGAAAUUUCAUAUUGACGGAAAUGCGUUCUCGGCCCUUGUCCUCUCCGUGGUGGGGAUUCUUAUGUUCAUGCAUGAAAGGCAUAUGGGUCCUCCUCUCUUCCCCCCUUCCCACAUUCUCAUCCUGCUAUGGGGUUGUUCUAUUCUGCUUGGCCCUGGCGAAGAGAAAACAACAGACAUCGCAUCACAACACAAACACCCACUGGUACCCACCCCUAAGCUCUACACAGCUCUC